This 433-nucleotide ribosomal RNA is filed under the name uncultured bacterium. RNAcentral's name for it is "partial 16S ribosomal RNA". It matches the Rfam family "Bacterial small subunit ribosomal RNA", at positions 29 to 507 of the family's 1533-position model. The record is from RNAcentral.
AACGAACGCUGGCGGCAUGCCUAACACAUGCAAGUCGAACGAGACCUUCGGGUCUAGUGGCGCACGGGUGCGUAACGCGUGGGAACCUGCCCUUAGGCUCGGAAUAACUCCCCGAAAGGGGUGCUAAUACCGGAUAAUGUCUUCGGACCAAAGAUUUAUCGCCUUUGGAUGGGCCCGCGUUGGAUUAGCUAGUUGGUAGGGUAAAAGCCUACCAAGGCGACGAUCCAUAGCUGGUCUGAGAGGAUGAUCAGCCACACUGGAACUGAGACACGGCCCAGACUCCUACGGGAGGCAGCAGUGGGGAAUAUUGGACAAUGGGCGAAAGCCUGAUCCAGCAAUGCCGCGUGAGUGAUGAAGGCCUUAGGGUUGUAAAGCUCUUUUACCCGGGAUGAUAAUGACAGUACCGGGAGAAUAAGCUCCGGCUAACUCCGUG